GCUCUCUGCUGGGCCGGACCCUGUCAUCCAGAAACAAUUGCAUCUGCACUAAUGGCGCGUUCGUCGAAGGUGACGGGAAAACAGGUUUGGCCUCGGGGCUCCUGAUGCGAGAGGAUGAGAAGAGCCCAAGCUUGCGCCUCUCCAUAGCGUGAGGCAGUUAGAUAGGAAGGGGGGGGGGGAUGCCCUUGGAAGUGCUCCCUGAUUUCCUCUUAUCUCCGUGCCACUCCCCACCCCUCCCACCCCCCAGUCUUUUGGAAAUGAUGUUAUUGAACGUACUUUUGACUCUCACUAGACAUGGAUAAUGUGAAGGAUGAAAAAAGUAGGACGCUCUGUGCAACUUCACAAGAAGAACUCAAAGUCAGAGGAAAAGAAAAAAGGAAACGAAAACGCAGUAGAAGCAGAUCAUCAUCCGUUUCAUCCACAUCGUCUUCUAGCACUACAUCCACUUCUUCCUCCUCAUCAUGCUCAUCAUCAAGGUCAUCUUCAAGUAGCAGAGAUUCUCCUAAGUCUAAAUCAAAGAAAAAGAAAAAAGAAAAACACAAUAAAAAGAAAAGGAAAAAAGAUAACAAAAUGAAGAAAAAGAAAGAAAAGAAGAAAAAGAGAGAGAAAACAGGACCUGUCCAGCUUUCCAAGUUCUUUAAAAACAAAAAGAAGAAUGAAAACUACAGCAUGAUAACUGGAAAGAAAAUUAAGAUGAAAAUAAAGAAGUCUAAGAAGGAUAAAGAGAGAGACCGGAAUCGUGCAGAACUCCUUGAAUUUCUGAACUCUGCCUUAUAA
RNAcentral lists this long non-coding RNA (777 nucleotides) under Athene cunicularia (burrowing owl). RNAcentral's name for it is "lncRNA (ENSACUG00000002507.1)". Lineage: Eukaryota; Metazoa; Chordata; Aves; Strigiformes; Strigidae. The record is from RNAcentral.